GAUGAAGAACGCAGCGAAAUGCGAUACGUAAUGUGAAUUGCAGAAUUCAGUGAAUCAUCGAGUCUUUGAACGCACAUUGCGCCCCCUGGUAUUCUGGGGGGCAUGCCUGUCCGAGCGUCAUUGCUGCCCUCAAGCACGGCUUGUGUGUUGGGCCUCCGUCCUCCUCCCGGGGGACGGGCCCGAAAGGCAGCGGCGGCACCGCGUCCGGUCCUCGAGCGUAUGGGGCUUCGUCACCCGCUCUUGUAGGCCCGGCCGGCGCUUGCCGACACAUCAAUCUUUUUUCCAGGUUGACCUCGGAUCAGGUAGGGAUACCCGCUGAACUUAAGCAUAUCAAUAAGCGGAGGA
RNAcentral lists this unclassified non-coding RNA (345 nucleotides) under soil metagenome. RNAcentral describes it as "partial contains 5.8S ribosomal RNA, internal transcribed spacer 2, and large subunit ribosomal RNA". The stretch from base 1 to 120 matches the Rfam family "5.8S ribosomal RNA", at positions 35 to 154 of the family's 154-position model. The record is from RNAcentral.